GUGCCCGGGGCGCGGGGGGCGGAGCCCGGCCUGGGGUGCGGGUCCAGACUCCCUCAGUGACUGCCCUGGAGCUCGCGCAUGAGGGGAGCCGGGCAGACGCCCGCCCCCUCACAAAGCCUGAGGAGGCUGCGGGGACCGGGUGGGGGGCUGGAAAGAGCGUGAGGGGUGGAGGGGCCCUCGGGUGCUUCCACCUUCCCGGGAGCGGCGAGGGCAUGGGGGCCAAGCCGACUCUCAGGUCUGGACUUCCUCAGGGUGCACAAAACCCGAGGGAGCGGGCUGAGACGUGGUCCCCGGGAGGCGGCUGUCCCCCCUCGGGGGGCCGCGCAGGAGGGCAGAGGCCGGAGGGAAGGGCCGAGCCAACUGGCCGAGUCUGACACGUCGAAGGAGAAGGAGCUCUCUUCUCUCCGACCCUCGGCCCUCCGCACCUGAGGAGCCGCGCUCUGUUGCCAUUCCAAGCUUGUGUGGGAGAAGACUGCUGUGCGCCUGUGUCUGUCCGCCCGGGCGACUCCAGCCCUCGGUUAAUGAAAGGCAAGAAUACUGGAGUGUGUUGCCAUUUCUUCUCCAGGGGAUCUUCCUGACCCAGGGAUCA
This is a long non-coding RNA of Bubalus bubalis (water buffalo), 589 nucleotides long. RefSeq lists it as uncharacterized. NCBI's taxonomy places the organism in Eukaryota, Metazoa, Chordata, Mammalia, Artiodactyla, Bovidae. The transcript has 3 exons. The record is from RefSeq and is a predicted model, not a curated record.